RNAcentral lists this small nuclear RNA (107 nucleotides) under Zalophus californianus (California sea lion). The record is from RNAcentral. Lineage: Eukaryota; Metazoa; Chordata; Mammalia; Carnivora; Otariidae.
GUGCUCGCUUCGGCAGCACAUAUACUGAAAUUGGAAUGAUACAGAGAAGAUUAGCAUGGACCCUGUGCAAGGGUGACACACAAAUUCGUGAAGCAUUCCAUAUUUUU